RNAcentral lists this ribosomal RNA (253 nucleotides) under uncultured bacterium. RNAcentral describes it as "partial 16S ribosomal RNA". It matches the Rfam family "Bacterial small subunit ribosomal RNA", at positions 524 to 776 of the family's 1533-position model. The record is from RNAcentral.
UACGAAGGGGGCUAGCGUUGCUCGGAAUUACUGGGCGUAAAGCGCACGUAGGCGGUCUUUUAAGUCAGGGGUGAAAUGCCAGGGCUCAACCUUGGAACUGCCUUUGAUACUGGAGACCUUGAGUCCGGGAGAGGUGAGUGGAAUUGCGAGUGUAGAGGUGAAAUUCGUAGAUAUUCGCAAGAACACCAGUGGCGAAGGCGGCUCACUGGCCCGGAACUGACGCUGAGACGCGAAAGCGUGGGGAGCAAACAGG